This 249-nucleotide ribosomal RNA is filed under the name uncultured bacterium. Its description in RNAcentral is "partial 16S ribosomal RNA". It matches the Rfam family "Bacterial small subunit ribosomal RNA", at positions 1243 to 1500 of the family's 1533-position model. The record is from RNAcentral.
AGAGAAGCCAGGUGGCGACACCGAGCGGAACUCGAAAGCCUGUCUCAGUUCGGAUCGGAGUCUGCAACCCGACUCCGUGAAGCUGGAUUCGCUAGUAAUCGCGCAUCAGCCAUGGCGCGGUGAAUACGUUCCCGGGCCUUGUACACACCGCCCGUCAAGCCAUGGAAGCCGGGAGUGCCUGAGGUAUGCAACCGCAAGGAGCGUCCUAAGGUAAAACCGGUGACUGGGGCUAAGUCGUAACAAGGUACC